CGCCGCGGUUAUACGAGAGGCCCAAGUUGACAAGCUCCGGCAUAAAGUGUGGUUAAGGAUUAAACUCUACUAAAGCCAAAGACCCUCAGAGCUGUUAUACGCAAAUGAAGGACCGAAGCCCAAUCACGAAAGUAGCUUUAAACUACCCCGACGCCACGAAAGCUACGGAA
This 170-nucleotide ribosomal RNA is filed under the name Wetmorella nigropinnata. RNAcentral describes it as "partial 12S rRNA". The record is from RNAcentral. Lineage: Eukaryota; Metazoa; Chordata; Actinopteri; Labriformes; Labridae.